RNAcentral lists this ribosomal RNA (2556 nucleotides) under Triticum aestivum (bread wheat). RNAcentral's name for it is "partial small subunit ribosomal RNA". The record is from RNAcentral. Lineage: Eukaryota; Viridiplantae; Streptophyta; Magnoliopsida; Poales; Poaceae.
AUGGCUAUCUCCUCGCCCUCCCCUGGCUUCCACCUCUCCCUCCACCUCCAAAACCCCACCCCCACCCCCACCCCCCACCCAGGCCCCAACCGCAAGCCCCGGCCGACCCCGACCACCGAGACGCUCCGUCGCCGCCUCCUCCGCAAGGGCGUGUCCCCGACGCCCAAGAUCCUCCAUGCCCUCCGCAAGAAGGAGGCCGGCAAGUCGCUCCGGCGCGCGAGGAAGGAGGCCUCCGCCGCCACCGCCGCCGCGCCGCCGAAGGAGGACGCGCUGGUGGCAGAAGAGGAGGCCCGCUUCCGCGCGGCCGCCGAGGAGUACCGCGUCCUCAUGGGGCGGCCCUGGCACGGCGCCCGCGGCGUCGUGGGCCCUCCGCGCGCGGCCUCCGGCGAGGAGGGCCUCGUCGGCCUGCGGAAGAUGCUCGAGGAGAGGAGCGGUGACAGAUUCCAGUGGCUUCUUGACGGCGACGUAGAAGAUGAGGGGGUGGAGGACGCCAAGGGGAAGCAGAGGCGUGUCGGCUCCGGCUGGAUUUCGGAGGUGGGGGACGAGGAGAGGAGGAUUGAGUUGCUGGUCAGUAGGCUCAGUGAAGUGGACCUUAGUUCGGGUGAUUGGAGGCUUACUAGAAUGAUGAAACAAGCUGACCUAAUAUAUAAUGAAGAUAAUCUAUUACAAAUACUCAAAGGGCUCGAGGCAAAAGGAAACUGGAGGCAGGCUGUUGCUGUUACCGAGUGGGUGUACAAUGAGAACAGCUACAAGCAUCGAAGAAGCAGGUUUGUCUAUACCAAGUUACUGUCAAUCCUUGGGAAAGCAUGGAUGCCAACUGAAGCACUGCGGAUUUUCACCAUCAUGAGGGUAGGAGAUGCUCAAAUAUACCCUGAUAUGGCUGCAUACCAUAGUAUUGCUGUUACACUUGGUAGAGCUGGCCUUCUCAAUGAGCUAAUUAAGAUAAUCGAUUAUAUGAGACAGAAGCCUUCAAAAAGGGUAAUGAUGAUGCGGCGCAAAGAUUGGGAUCCUUUGUUGGAGCCGGAUGUUCUCGUUUAUAACUCGGUUCUUAAUGCCUGCGUACUAUCACAGCAAUGGAAAGGGGUAUUUUGGGUGUUUCAGAAAAUGCGGUUCGGUGGAUUGACACCUACAGGAGCGACAUUUGGCUUGGCAAUGGAGGUUAUGCUUAAAUCCAAGAAGUAUGAGUUUGUCCAGAAGUUCUUUGAAAAGAUGCAGAGGAAAGGUGUACCUCCAAGAGCGAUAACUUAUAAAGUGUUAGUAAGAGCCUUCUGGGAACAAGGAAAAGUAAAUGAAGCUGUUGAAGCAGUUAAAGACAUGGAACAAAGAGGAGUCGUUGGAGCUGCAAGUGUGUACUAUGAAUUAGCUUGCUGUCUUUGUAAUAAAGGAAGGUGGAAAGAUGCUAUGUUACAGGUUGAGAAGAUGGAACAGCUUCGCCUCACUAAACCACUGGAGUUCGCAUUUACUGGCAUGAUCCUAGCCUCUUUUGAUGGUGGAUAUAUCUCCGAGUGUAUCUCGAUAUUUGAGUCAAUGAAGGACUACUGUACUCCAAAUAUUGGGACGAUAAAUGUGAUGCUAAAAGUUUAUGGACGCUGUGAUAUGUUUGGGAAGGCAAAAGACUUGUUUGAGACCACCACAUAUAGUGCUUGUAGUUCUCAGCCACAUAUCCGUGACCAUUCUUCACUUAAAGCAGACGCGUAUACAUACAGCUCUAUACUUGAAGCAUCUGCAUCCGCCCAACAGUGGGAAUAUUUCGAAAAUGUAUACAGACAGAUGACUCUUUCUCAACACCAUCUAGAUCAAAGCAAAUAUUCAUGGUUGCUUGUCAAGGCAUCGAGAGCUGGAAAGCCCUAUUUGGUGGAGCAUGCACUUGAUUCAAUACUUGAAAGAGGAGAAAUCCCUGAUGUAGAGCUGUUCACUGAAAAUAUUUGCCAAACUAUUGCUGAAAGCGACCAUGGAAGAACACUGCAUCUCAUGAAUACUAUGUCUGCGGCUUCAGUCGAGAUGAAUGAACAGCAAUGGAGCGAUCUACUUCAGCAAAAUUCACAUCGAUUCAGGGUGGAUGCGUUGAAAGACCUUAUAACGCACCUCAGUACUAGUGAUGCCAUCAAAACAGAUCCCGGACUCGGUUUUGUAAGAGCAUUGCAGUCCCAAUGUGCGACAAUGUUGGCGAAAGACGCUGAAGAGCCUCAAGCAGAUAAUUGUUCACAUAGCAAUCUGAUGGAACAGGAUGAGAUCUCUUGCAAGGACUCAUUGGGUAGUCAUGAAUUCUCGGAUUCCAGUACUGAUAUCCCUGUAUCAGGUGUCAAAGCUGGUUCGGGUGGGGACAUUGUACUGCGUGGUCCGCAUUCAGAAGAUGAACAUCGUAAUCUUGCGCAUUGGGGCACACAGGUAUCUGCCAUCGACAAAGUGCUUGAUUCCAUGAACUCAUUUGGUAACUGUAGUUCAUAUGAAAAGAUGCCGACAGCAUUAGAAAUUCUCGAAUCAUGGGAGCAGGAGUGUGUUGAGGACAUAUUUGCUCCAAAGAAGGGAAGCAGAGAAACUAUGAGAGAUAAAUGA